This is a long non-coding RNA of Ceratitis capitata (Mediterranean fruit fly), 425 nucleotides long. RefSeq lists it as uncharacterized. The record is from RefSeq and is a predicted model, not a curated record. The transcript is spliced from 3 exons. Lineage: Eukaryota; Metazoa; Arthropoda; Insecta; Diptera; Tephritidae.
UCAAAUUACGCUAUGCGCUAAUAGUAAAAUGCAAGCUUAUAUUGAUAGUGAUAAUUAACUAAAUACGUAUUGGCUCAAAACUCUAAAGAGAAAAGAGGAGGCCUUUUCGCUUCGUGGAACUAUUUCAAAUUGUGGACUCACCCUGCUGCUCGAGUUGAAUUCUCCUUUGCUGAAAAGGUAACCGGUCUGUCGAAAUUGUCUAUGAUCUAUUGAAUAUUAUUAGCUUGGCGAUAUGGCCUCAGACGUAUCAACAGUGGCAUGAUCACUUAGCAAACGUCCAAAACGAUACUGACUAAAAAAGCCGGGAAAGUAAUCAACGUACAUGAACUUCGUCUGUAUCGGCUAUGUUACGUUCGUUCUACUGCGCUUUUGAGGAGCAUACCUUGGGAUAAACAGAUGCAAGGAUACUGCAUCAGGAUAAACAU